This 980-nucleotide long non-coding RNA is filed under the name Homo sapiens (human). Its description in RNAcentral is "long intergenic non-protein coding RNA 1490". The record is from RNAcentral. Lineage: Eukaryota; Metazoa; Chordata; Mammalia; Primates; Hominidae.
GACAACAGGUGUUAAGAGGAAGAGAGGAGCAAGCAUAUAUAUAUGGCACUCCAGGAAGAUGAAGGUGGGAUUAUAGAAUGUAUGCAGCUGUAGUCUGGGAGGUCUGAUGUUAGGGAAAAAGAAGGAGGAAAGCAAGAUUAAAAAUCAUUCCUGGAAAUGCAAGAGAAAAUGUGCUGGAGUGGUGCUGUUAGUACCAGGGACACUGGACAAGAAAGAUAAGCAAGCCACUGCUGUCUGAUUCCUACAUAGCAGGUUAAAGUGUUGGAUUCAUAAUUCUCACUUCAGGAAGACUGAAAACCAGACUUUAUUCUGCUAGAUCCCAAGAUAUCAAGGAAGAGGAAAAGGGAAGAGCCCCAGGCACUAUUAAACCACAGCUACAAUCACUGCCAUUUGAAACUUCCCACCAAACAACUUUACUAUUCUGAUUUAAUUUCAACUCCCAGGGAGAGUUAGUAUUAAGAGGAAGUACCUAUCAUCCAUGAUAAUCCACCAGCUCUGGGGGUUUAGAAGGGAAAGGAUGGAGGUCUCAGUGCUUGAGGCUAGGCUGACAGCUGAGCAGGGCUCCAGCUCACCUUAAUCUCACUCCUGUGGAUGCCUGCACUAGGGGCCUGAGCAUUCUCCCAGAUCUCUGCAUAGGAGGCUGCCCUUAGGCAUUAUUAAGGUGUGAAAGCAGCAAGAAAGAGCAGAAUUAAACUGCUUUUCUCUAAUGUAUCCUUUUACAGCCCAGUGUAUUUUGCCCUAGGCUAGCCUUUUCUUCUCCUUUCACCCUCCACAUGCCAGUCCGAGACAGCCUUUCUUCUCACAGGAAUUAUUGUAUUAUUUCUUAAAUUCUUUUUUUCUUCUCCAUGGCUUUUCUAGAGGAAACCUAACAGUGUGGGUUUAUCAAUCAUUUUGACAAGACUCUGAAUUCCACUGAACAGAUUUUUGAAUAAAAAUUAUGAACAAAGAAAGUGUAGUAAAUCUGCUAAUAGAAAAACUGA